RNAcentral lists this ribosomal RNA (136 nucleotides) under uncultured Trebouxiophyceae. Its description in RNAcentral is "partial small subunit ribosomal RNA". It matches the Rfam family "Eukaryotic small subunit ribosomal RNA", at positions 1670 to 1804 of the family's 1831-position model. The record is from RNAcentral. Lineage: Eukaryota; Viridiplantae; Chlorophyta; Trebouxiophyceae.
CGCCCGUCGCUCCUACCGAUUGGGUGUGCUGGUGAAGUGUUCGGAUUGGCGGCAUUCGGCGGUUCCCGCUGAGUGCAGCCGAGAAGUUCAUUAAACCCUCCCACCUAGAGGAAGGAGAAGUCGUAACAAGGUUUCC